Molecule: ribosomal RNA, 413 nt
Filed under: uncultured bacterium
Lineage: Bacteria
Description: partial 16S ribosomal RNA
Rfam family: Bacterial small subunit ribosomal RNA
Source: RNAcentral
AAUAUUGCGCAAUGGUGGGAACUCGGUCGCAGCGACGCCGCCGGAGCGAUGAAGGUUGUCCGAUCGUAAAGCUCCUUCCCUGGGGAAGAAGGGAGCCGUAAUGCUUCUUGACGGUGCCCAUGGAGGAAGCCCCGUCUCACUACGCUCCAUCAGCCGCGGUAAUACGUAGGGGGCAAGUGUUGCUCGGAAUUAUUGGGCGGAAUGGGUGCGUAGGCAGCCCUUUAGGUCAGGUGUGAAAGCCCACGGCUUAACCGUGGGGCUGCAUUUGAAACUGGAGGGCUUGAGUGUCGGAGAGGGCAGUGGAAUUCCCAGUGUAGCGGUGGGAUGAGUAGAUAUUGGGAAGAACACCAGUGGCGAAGGCGGCUGCCUGAACGAAAACUGACGCUGAGGCACGAAAGCUAGGGGAGCAAACA